RNAcentral lists this ribosomal RNA (483 nucleotides) under uncultured bacterium. Its description in RNAcentral is "partial 16S ribosomal RNA". It matches the Rfam family "Bacterial small subunit ribosomal RNA", at positions 30 to 507 of the family's 1533-position model. The record is from RNAcentral.
AUUGAACGCUGGCGGCAGGCCUAACACAUGCAAGUCGAGCGGAUGAAGGGAGCUUGCUCCUGGAUUCAGCGGCGGACGGGUGAGUAAUGCCUAGGAAUCUGCCUGGUAGUGGGGAUAACGUCCGGAAACGGGCGCUAAUACCGCAUACGUCCUGAGGGAGAAAGUGGGGGAUCUUCGGACCUCACGCUAUCAGAUGAGCCUAGGUCGGAUUAGCUAGUUGGUGGGGUAAAGGCCUACCAAGGCGACGAUCCGUAACUGGUCUGAGAGGAUGAUCAGUCACACUGGAACUGAGACACGGUCCAGACUCCUACGGGAGGCAGCAGUGGGGAAUAUUGGACAAUGGGCGAAAGCCUGAUCCAGCCAUGCCGCGUGUGUGAAGAAGGUCUUCGGAUUGUAAAGCACUUUAAGUUGGGAGGAAGGGCAGUAAGUUAAAUCCUUGCUGUUUUGACGUUACCAACAGAAUAAGCACCGGCUAACUUCGUG